AUUCCGACUACUCUGUGUCAAUCGAAGUAUUAACAAAUAUCUCACAAGAAUUUCGAUUUGUGUAUUGCUUAUACACACUUCUCUUCCAUUUGAAUACAACGCAACACAACACAACAGACUCAUUUGUUAGUGUUUUUGUUUACUUUGAUUCCUUAUGAGAUUAUUUUGAGUUUCUACACCGACACCAGUUGAACAUAAAUUUCAUCACGAAGUGAAAUUUGGACAUAUAUUUUAACACAAGUACAAAUACUAUGAAACAUAGAGUAGCUGAAUAUUUUAAGCGAAACAGAAUUUGGAGAGAAUAAAGUAAAUUAGAAUGAAAUUAUCACAUUGUAAAUAAUGUUAUAUGUAUAAUAAUAAUAUUAAAAUUCAUAUUGAAUAAACUACCUCUGGCGAAGAAACGCUGUAUGUUGCAGAAUAAUAAUAAUAUUGAAGCUAGCAUCGAUUGAGUAAAGUUGUAAAAACCACACAGUGAACUUAUUUAAUUUUUGUCAAUCCAAGAUUUUCCAUCAUGGCCCGUGGAGACUGUGGAGCUCGCAGAAAUGGAAGUGAGGAGAGGUUUACAACACUCUCAGAAUUCAAAGGAGGCAAAUUAAAAAACAUUUAGUGUAAAACAUCAAAUUACCCACUGUUUUUUGCCAUUGUAGGCAAAAUGUCAGUUUACCUCCACUGUAUGAAAAUUGUCGGCAAAAUGUCAUUUUACCUACAUUUUUGGUGGAACGGUGUUUCAAUGUAUUAACAAUGUAGGUGAAAUGACAUUUUGCCGACAAUUUUAAUACAGUGGAAGUAAAUUAACAAUGGCAAAAGACAGUGGGUAAUUUGAUGUUUUACACUAUAUGUUUUUUAGUUUGCCUCCUUUGAAUUCUGAGAGCAGGGACUACAAACAAUCAUCCAAACACCGUAUCGACGUAUUUGUCAAGGAAUUGGGGAAAUGAGCAUCAUGGCAACGCUAAUCUCACUCCUAGCAUCGCUCUAUUUCCUAUAUUUGUUUCUUUUUACAUUUACAAUUUUCGCAUAAAAUAUCCACAUUAUUUACAAUCCACAUGCAAGAGCCAGAAAUACCAGAGCUUCCUUAAACCACCAACUUUACAGUUGUUCUAUAGUGCACAUGUAAGCGGCGACACGUGAAAAUUGAUGCAGAUCAUUGUACAAUAUUUUACUACAACAAAACAACUCGAGCAAAAGGUACUCGAGUCUACCGAAACGACGAAGUCUAACAGCGCUACCUCACAUAGACUGAAUUUAAGAAGAGAGGAGUCUGGAGUUCGUAUAUCAGCAAAGACGAAAUUAUCAAACUGGGCAAGAAUAAGAAGGAAUUGGGAAAUUCGAUAGUAUCAGAUGGUAUGUCAGCGUCGGUGUUAUUCAAAUUGCCUAAACAAAGCGAAAUGCUGAUGAUGAUGAGACUUAAACCAAGCGCAAAUAUUUGGCAAACGAAUUUGUGUAUGCACUCGGAAUCGAUCCGGGGAUGCGAACCUGGAAUGCGACAGUCCGCCGCAAUCUCAAGAAGAGAGCAACGAGAAGCAUUUGUUCAAACAAUACCAUCAGAAAUCGAAGCAAGAUGCGCGCAACAUUAAAACCGAACGAAUGACACGAGUCUUCACGGUGCGGUGUCCAGGUGUUCGCAAGCUGAUUGCAGCCUCAAAAAGACUAAUUGUGUUGUUCGGCUGGUGGAUGAAUACAUGACAUCGCAACAUUUAACAGAUGAUUCAAUAGCAAACGAUACAAGAAGUGCAACGACUGCCGAACGGAUGAACGUGUUAGACUUCCGAAAACCAUCUAUACGAACGUGGGCAUACGGGUGUUGCAGAUGCAACGGGAAAUCAUGCGCACAUAGGAGAAAAUGCAAGACCAAGGUGAUGCUAUAGCAGCCAUUCUAACCCAACGAAAUUCAGGACGUUUGGUGUCAAAGAAGCAACGCUUCUUCGAAACCAGGAAACCAAAUGCUGAUGAAAACGUUGGGACAGGAGACGCUGCACAGUCACGCAAGUUGCUCAAAACACUUUGGCAUCGGGACAUAUCAGCAGCCAAACUGAUCAUGUACAAAGGUCUUUGUAUGCUGCUUGACAUUCGAAACAUAUUGAUGAGACGACCAAAUGUGUUCCACUAAAUCGAUAAUUCAAAAUCCAGCGUUUAGCAUUAAAGUUUUUUCUACCAAAUAUUUUCUAAUAGUUUAUUGGAGAUCUCAAGCCUUGCACUUAGUGGGCUAUUUAAGGUGCAUGAAGUGUGCUUUAGGUGCGCUUCAUGUGCCACAAGUGGUUGUAUAGACGUUAUUUGAUGGUCUGAAAGAAUCAUAUUCGUUUUUCGCUUUGGCAAUGUCAAAUUGGCAUCACGCCACCGUUCUAUGGAUAUGACUUGUUCAAUGCAUCAUAUGAAGAUAAGUAAAAUUUGUUCAACGCUUCGGAACGAGAAUUAUUCAGACAUUUGAAAGAAUAAAAAAAGCCUUUUUUCGCUUCGGGAAGAGUGAAUAUUGAUUGCUCCGUUGUGUGAACACCAUUAAUUGAUUCAGAAUUUCUUUCGCUUUAAUUUAAAAUCUACCGAUUUUCUUUUUCAGGUUAUGAAAAACACCCUAAUUGUAUAGUAGGCAGUAGCUUUUUAGAAGUAGAACAAGCUCAAGUUUUUUUUAUCAAUUUUCAUGUCUCUAUUCAAAUAAAUGAAGAGAAUUUUGAAACAAAGUGACAUAAUUCUACUGUAGGAUGAUAUAAUAAUGAAUCUAAUUAAAAUUACUCUUCAAUCUGAUCAGCUUUGUGAAGAAAGAUUUUGUUGUAUGACAUAUCAUUGAACGAAUUCAUUGAACAUAUCUUUUUGGUAAUUCAAUAAAUACAUAUGACACUUCAUUGAACGAAUUCAUUGAACAUAUCUUUUUUAGUAUUCAAAUCACUUUCUAUAGUGAAACAAGAACACCAUUUUAAAGUAUUCCCUCUCAAUUUCAUUUUCUUGAGAAAUGUGCAUCUUUCUAAUAGAAAGACAAUAUUGUGUUAAUAACUAGUUAAAGUUCAUUUUGAAAAAGGCGCGUGAAAAAAAAUUAAAGUGUAUUUCUUUGUAUACUGUCUGCAGAAAAAAGUGGUUAUAGAUCGGAUAAUCUUUGUAUGUAUAGGAAAAUGAGUGGCAACGCAUCAUUCAAUUCAACAUUUGAAGUCUCCCCAAUGCGAGAACCAAUGCAGAAAUCAAAGGAUUCGAUGUUAUCAGCUGAGGCACCAGAAUUUAUUCCACGUGUUAAUGGUUCAGCACAAGGUAAUCCUUUGACAGCACAAUCGUAUCAUCGUAAUCAACAGUCAGUUCAAAUGGUAAACCAUAAUGCGUAUCGUAGCCAAAAUCAUGCUGUGUCGCAAUAUUCG
Molecule: long non-coding RNA, 3335 nt
Organism: Sitodiplosis mosellana (orange wheat blossom midge)
Lineage: Eukaryota; Metazoa; Arthropoda; Insecta; Diptera; Cecidomyiidae
Exons: 6
Source: RefSeq, a predicted model, not a curated record